This 805-nucleotide ribosomal RNA is filed under the name uncultured fungus. RNAcentral describes it as "eukaryotic LSU rRNA". The stretch from base 208 to 361 matches the Rfam family "5.8S ribosomal RNA". The record is from RNAcentral. Lineage: Eukaryota; Fungi.
GUGCAAGGGCUGUCGCUGACUUUUAACGCAAAAGUCGUGCACGCCGGAGCGUGUCCUCUCACAUAAAAUCCAUCUCACCCUUUUGUGCACCACCGCGUGGGCACCCUUCGGGAUCAAACCGAUCCCGGAGGGGGCUUGCGUUUUCACACAAACCCCUUCUUAAAAGUGUAGAAUGUCCCCAUUUUUGCGAUAACACGCAAUCAAUACAACUUUCAACAACGGAUCUCUUGGCUCUCGCAUCGAUGAAGAACGCAGCGAAAUGCGAUACGUAAUGUGAAUUGCAGAAUUCAGUGAAUCAUCGAAUCUUUGAACGCACCUUGCGCCCCUUGGUAUUCCGAGGGGCACACCCGUUUGAGUGUCGUGAAAAUCUCAACCUUCUCGGUUUCUUCUGGACACCGAAGGAGGCUUGGACUUUGGAGGCCUUUGCUGGCGUCUCUCUCUUGAGAGAGCCAGCUCCUCUUAAAUGAAUUAGCGGGGUCCUCUUUGCUGGUCCUCGACAUGUGAUAAGAUGUUUCCAUGUCUUGGUUUCUGGCUCUGUUGCUUUUGGGACCCGCUUCUAACCGUCUCAACGAGACAACGUUUGAGCGCGUCUCCCUUCUCGGGAGACCCUCUCAACCUCACGAACCCUUGACCUCAAAUCGGGUGAGACUACCCGCUGAACUUAAGCAUAUCAAUAAGCGGAGGAAAAGAAACUAACAAGGAUUCCCCUAGUAACUGCGAGUGAAGCGGGAAAAGCUCAAAUUUAAAAUCUGGCGGUCUUUGNCCGUCCGAGUUGUAAUUUANAGAAGCGUCUUCCGCGCUGGAC